UUUAUAAAAGACGUAAGUUGGCCCCAGCAAAUUAGUAUCAUGUGCCUUUAGUCACUUUUUAUACUAAGGGCAUACAUGCUGUAUAGUUAUUAUUAUUACUAACAUGAUAUAACAUAUGGCCUUUAGUGUGUUUUAGUGGCAGUUUCAGGCUUUCACUGAACUUUACAAUAUGUAUUAUUACCCCAGAGAGUCCCUUCUAUUCCAAAGGGUCUGGCUAUGAAUGUCAGAAAAAGCGGGUACUCAGUUUAGUAAAGGGGUAUUACUGAUAAUGGCUUGUCCCCUAAAUACAGAACUUAAUCUCUGGUUUAUAUAAGCAGUUAAUAAAUUAAAUAUGAGCUUAAUUAGUCCAUUCAAGCAGAUCAGUUACAUAUGCAUAUGGUUACUUUCUCUAUGGGGUUGGAAAAUUGCUUGUCUUUCCUAGGUGGAUACUUUCCCAGUAGAAUAAUAAAAUAGACAUAAACAAUAAUAUUUAACAACGUUUGUUUUUAUAUUUUGUAGCUUUUAGAAAAAGAUCCAGAACAUCGCCUCGGUUCGGGUGAGGCUGGUGCAGAAAUGGUGAAACAGCACCCCUUCUUCAAAGUAGGUUUCUAUUCUAUUCCUUUCAAUUUACAAACAGAAAAGCACUAAUGAAUAUUGCCAUAGCCUCGUAAUGCAUUAUAUAAUUUCUUGUACCAGCAAUUCUAGUUUUUGGACCAGAUACUCAUCAUUAAAUAUUACCUUUUCAUUUAACUUUCAGGAUAUGGACUGGGACCAUCUAGUACACCGAAGAAUAAGGCCUCCAUUUGAACUGGACAACCAAGACCACCUGGAGAGCCAAGAGAACCCUGAAUGCCAGGCUCCGGCACUGACACCGCCUGCUGUUAGGAUUCCAUCAGAGCUGCAAGAGGCAUUCAGAGGAUUCUAAAUGAACAUCAAAUAAGUAGACGGAAUAGAUGGGGAGGGUGGAGGGCCAGUCCAUAUCUAUAGAAGAAGUCCAUUCAUGAAGAUCAGAGAUCUAGAAUAUCGAAUAUCCAGAAGAUUUAGAAUACCUAGAAAGAUCCAGAACAUCGCCUCGGUUCGGGUGAGGCUGGUGCCGAAAUGGUGAAAGAGCACCUCUUCUUCAGAGGUAUGGACUGGGACCAUCUAUUACACCAAAGAAUAAGGCCUCCAUUUGAACUGGACAACCAAGACCACCUGGAGAGUCGCAAGAACCCUGAAUGCCAAGCUCCAGCACUGACACCGCCUGCUGUAAGGAUUCCAUCAGAGCUGCAAGAGGCAUUCAGAGGAUUCUCAAUGAACAUCAAAUAAGUAGACGGAAUGGAUGGGGAGGGUGGAGGGCCAGUCCAUAUCCAUAUAAGAAGUCUAUUCAUAUAAAGUGACGAUCAGGUGAGCCACCUUAAUAAGUUCUGACUGAGUAGGCUAAUGUAGGAAUAGUCUGCUCAUGGUUUGUAACAUAUUCCAAAACUUCACCUGUAAACAGGCAAGUAAGAUCUAGUAGGUGAGAAACAAACUGUAUUUUUAUAGCAACAGCUGACACUGUAACAUCCUGCCUGGUUUUAAAACAGCACCCUGCAGGUUAUUAUGCAGUCUUUUAUAACUCUGCUCUAUUUGAACAGAUAACCAAGUGCUAGCUUCAGUUUGCCCCACAAUGCAUUCUGUAAUUACUGACUUCUUCUCUACAAUCGACAUUUGGCACCCUUGCCUGCCCCAUGGGAGUCUCUGGAUUCUCAUAUGGUAAGACCUGUUAGCACCCGAGCAGCUGAGAUUUAGGCCCAAAGCCAAAGGUGGCUGUUAUAGAAGAGCAGGCCAAGACUCCCUGUGGUUUGGGAUUCCCUUAAGUGACAAACAGGAAAGUAAAACCUGGCACCAAGUUAGGAAACAAACCAAUAGUUGGCACUACCUCACAUUGUUUGUAUUUGCUUUCUGGUAAGGUUGUAGUUGCCACCUUGGGAGAUCCAGAGAAGAAGAUAUUGAAGAUAUUAAAGAUGGUUACCAUGUUUAUCCACGCCAAGGUAUGAAAAGUAGGUUUAUUCCUAAACAGAAUGAAGGAUGUACCAUGGGGUUAUUUGUACAGGCAUUCUAUCCUAUGAAAAUCAUUUUGCCUCAAAUGGGCAUUAUGAAAGAGUACAGGGCACUGAAAGACUCAAAUAGUAAACAUGGGGCUCUUACUGUUGGCGGUUAAUGAACAUUCCUUAUGUUAGAUUUGGUUUUUGGACACCAUUUGUACCCCCACGUGAGUAACUGGUUAAUUUGCAGAAUUAAUUAUGAAGUCUAUAAUAAAAUCAUCUACAAUGCUGAAUGAUUCAUCUGACUGCUUAUUUAUUUAUAAUCAACACAUAAGUUUAGUUGCCCUUUAGAUGUAAAUCCUUCUGUGAUUCUGUUUUUCAGAUAUGAGACAGCGUGGCGACAGUCAAAGGAAAUCUUAUUCUGUAAUGAAGAUCAUGGAUCAUAUACUGAACAUUGUACCAAACACUCACUGGAGUCCGUGUGAAGAAAGAAGCCUGUACCCCACCUUCCUAGUGCCACCCACUUUUCCUACUCCAAUAGGCACUAUUUCAUAUAUAACUUGUUUGUUCUGCUCACAUUAUGUAUAUAAUUAUACAAAUAAAAAUAUUGCUUCUAAGAA
Long non-coding RNA from Xenopus tropicalis (tropical clawed frog), 2605 nucleotides. RefSeq lists it as uncharacterized. Lineage: Eukaryota; Metazoa; Chordata; Amphibia; Anura; Pipidae. The transcript is spliced from 2 exons. The record is from RefSeq and is a predicted model, not a curated record.